GACGAACGCUGGCGGCGCGCUUAACACAUGCAAGUCGAACGGAAAGGCCUGCUUUCCCUUGUGGAUUGCGGGUACUCGAGUGGCGAACGGGUGAGUAACACGUGAGUGAUCUGCCCCCAACUUGGGUAUAAGCCUGGGAAACUGGGUCUAAUUCCCGAUAGGACUGCAGGGUGGUGCCUGUGGUGGCAAACGAUUUUCUAGUGGUUGGGGAUGAGCUCGCGGCCUAUCAGCUUGUUGGUGGGGUAAUGGCCUACCAAGGCGGCGACGGGUAGCCGGCCUGAGAGUGUGGACGGCCACAUUGGGACUGAGAUACGGCCCAGACUACUACGGGAGGCAGCAGUGGGGAAUAUUGCACAAUGGGCGGAAGCCUGAUGCAGCGACGCCGCGUGGGGGAUGACGGCCCUCGGGUUGUAAACUCCUUUCGACCGCGAGGAAGCCACCUGGUUGGAAGGGUGGUGACGGUAGUGGUAGAAGAAGCACCGGCUAACUACGUG
RNAcentral lists this ribosomal RNA (494 nucleotides) under uncultured bacterium. RNAcentral describes it as "partial 16S ribosomal RNA". It matches the Rfam family "Bacterial small subunit ribosomal RNA", at positions 28 to 507 of the family's 1533-position model. The record is from RNAcentral.